CGUGAAAUUGUUGAAAGGGAAGCGUUUAUGACCAGACUUGGACUUGGUUAAUCAUCUGGGGUCCUCCCCAGUGCACUUUUCCAGUUCAGGCCAGCAUCAGUUUUCCCCGGGGGAUAAAGGCGGCGGGAAUGUGGCUCUCUUCGGGGAGUGUUAUAGCCCGCCGUGCAAUACCCUGGGGGGGACUGAGGUUCGCGCAUCUGCAAGGAUGCUGGCGUAAUGGUCAUCAACGACCCGUCUUGAAACAUGGA
Molecule: ribosomal RNA, 248 nt
Filed under: Fusarium sp.
Lineage: Eukaryota; Fungi; Ascomycota; Sordariomycetes; Hypocreales; Nectriaceae
Description: partial large subunit ribosomal RNA
Rfam family: Eukaryotic large subunit ribosomal RNA
Source: RNAcentral